CAAAGAAUCGUUUAAUUUAGGAUCCUAGCUUUGGGAGUUAGGGGCGGGGGUUAAAAUCCCCCUUCUUUGA
This 70-nucleotide transfer RNA is filed under the name Pomacentrus moluccensis (lemon damsel). Its description in RNAcentral is "tRNA-Pro". It matches the Rfam family "tRNA". From Rfam's summary of the family: Transfer RNA (tRNA) molecules are approximately 80 nucleotides in length. Their secondary structure includes four short double-helical elements and three loops (D, anti-codon, and T loops). Further hydrogen bonds mediate the characteristic L-shaped molecular structure. tRNAs have two regions of fundamental functional importance: the anti-codon, which is responsible for specific mRNA codon recognition, and the 3' end, to which the tRNAs corresponding amino acid is attached (by aminoacyl-tRNA synthetases). tRNAs cope with the degeneracy of the genetic code in two manners: having more than one tRNA (with a specific anti-codon) for a particular amino acid; and 'wobble' base-pairing, i.e. permitting non-standard base-pairing at the 3rd anti-codon position. Lineage: Eukaryota; Metazoa; Chordata; Actinopteri; Pomacentridae. The record is from RNAcentral.